AAUAAAAAACGAGUUGUAAAGUAAUAGUUUUAUGUCUUCUUUUUGAGUAAACGAGGUUAUUAUCAUCUUCGUUGGGAGUAAAUCCUUAUUAUAAAACUUGAUUUUUGUUAGUUACUUGCCUACUUUUACAUUAGUAAUUCGUGUUCAGUGUUAUAGAAAUUUUAAAACGAUAUAUUAGUGACGUUUUAACUGAGCAUUAGCUGGUUCAAACACCUUAUGUACAGUGAGAUAUAUAGACGCUUUAUUUGUAUAGUUCUUGAUAUAAUCACAAAAUGAUCAUGUAAACAUUAAUAAAUCUGCGAAGCACAUCUUGGAAUUUUUGAAGCUGAUAGAAAUAAUGGGGACACCAGACUCAGAUUCCGUCACUGAUAAGUCUGAUGAAAUGAUAAAAGAAAAUGAUUCUGGUGCUACGGUUGAGGAUUCAUCAAAAAAUGAUGCUGAAGAUGAUAAAAAGAAGAAAAAGAAGAAACACAAACAUCAUAGUAAACACAAAAAACAUUCAAGCGAAAGGAAGAAACACAAAAAACAUAAGAACAAGAAAGAAUCUGAAAAUGGAGACUUGAAGGAAAAUAAAAAAAAUAAGAAAACUAAAGAAAAGUUGUCAGUUAUAAUUUCUGAAGGAAGUAAUAAAAGAGAAGUUAAAGGAGAAGGGAAAGGCGGUAAAUUGGCUUUGACUAAUGGCAGUAAAGCAAAUAAUAAAGUAGUUGAUUCGGAUGGUGACAUCCCUACAGGUCCUCUCGAGGAGGAGAUGAACUUGGACGAGUUGAUGCGGCAAAAGGCACUUCUGCAAGCGUGUUUGGGAGCCUACAUGUCUGAAACAGAAAGCUCAAAGGAAGAAGAGCCUGAGGUCAUUAACUUGGUGGAUGAUGAUGAGUCAGAUGAUGGUCGUCCACGAAGAUCCAAGAAAAGAGGGCAUUCUAGAAGUACGAGUAGAGAAAGAAAGGUCAGAAGAAGUGAUAGUAAAAAAGAUGCAAAAGACAGGUCACAUAGAGAUUUUACAGAUAAAGAUAGAAAAUCAAAAGAGGAUGUCCGUAGAAGAGAGGAAGAGGAAUAUCGGAAAAGGGAAGCCAGAAGAAAAGAAGAUCAACGACGUAAAGAGGAAGAACUCAAAAGAAGAGAUGAGGAAAGAAGAAAAGAAGAGAUUAGAAGGAGGGAAGAGGACAUUAGACGAAGAGAAGAAGAGUACAAAAGAAGAGACGACGAAAGGAGAAGGGAAGAAGAAAGGAGGAGAGACGAUGACACCAGGAGACGAGAAGAGGACUUGCGAAGACGAGAGGAUGAUCUGAGGAGACGAGAUGAUGAUAUUCGUCGCAGAUCGAGGCGCAGCAGAUCACCCACAGGUAAAGACAGCUAUGCUGAUAGAAGAGACAGAGAAAAUGAUAGAGACAGAAGGGACAGAGACAGAGAUAGAGAAAGAGACAGAGACAGGAGGAGAAGGUCCGAUAGCAGGGAAAAAUAUCAUUCAAGGUCACACAAGUCUAGAGGUGAUAAAGCAGACAAGUACAAAGACAGUUUAUCAGAGGGUCUUAAAGUGGAUAAUUCAUCAUCCUCAGAUGAACUUGAGGAUAUAAACAUCGUGGAGGAGGAGGAUGAGGAACAGAUAAUUGAGAAAAGAAGAAAACAAAGAGAGGAACUUCUCAAGAGGCUCGGAGUAAGCGAGGACUCAAACCUAACUAACAGUCCUGCAGCCCCGGAGCCUGCCCAGGGGGAGACUGAACCUGCCUCUGCUCCCACUCCUAAACCCAAGCGUAAGUCAAGAUUCGAACCUGAGCCCACGCCCACACAGAAGCAAGAAAACAAGAACACACAGCGAAAGGACGGCAAAUGGGACAUGUUUGCUGAAGCAGAUAACUUUGGCGGCCAGUACAAUAGUCCAAGCAUGGUGACAAAAGGGGGGCUGUUGCCUGAGAAUCCGAGUCUCACAGACAACUGGGACGAUGCUGAGGGCUAUUACAGGGUGAGGAUCGGUGAGACCAUGGACAACCGCUAUGUGGUGUACGGCUACACUGGCCAGGGGGUGUUCUCCAACGUCAUCCGAGCGAGGGACGGAGCAAGGGGCAAUCAGGACGUGGCAAUCAAAAUCAUCAGGAAUAAUGAAAUCAUGCACAAAACAGGUUUGAAAGAACUGGAUAUUCUGAAGAGGUUGAAUGACACGGAUCCUGACGACAGAUUUCACUGUCUUCGGCUCUUUAGACAUUUCUUCCACAAGCAGCAUUUGUGCAUGGUGUUCGAGCCCCUCAGCAUGAAUUUAAGAGAGGUUUUGAAAAAGUAUGGAAAAGAUGUUGGGCUUCACAUCAAAGCUGUCCGCUCAUAUAGUCAGCAGUUAUUUUUGGCUCUCAAACUUCUGAAAAAAGCCAACAUAUUACAUGCUGAUAUCAAACCUGAUAAUAUUUUGGUAAAUGAAAACAAACUUGUGCUAAAAUUAUGUGACUUUGGGUCGGCUUCACAUGUGGCUGAGAAUGAAAUCACACCUUAUCUUGUCAGUCGGUUCUACAGAGCUCCUGAAGUCAUUUUAGGAAUUCCUUACGACUUUGGAGUAGAUAUGUGGUCAGCUGGGUGCACCAUAUUUGAACUUUACACUGGAAAAAUCAUGUUCUCUGGAAAGUCUAAUAAUCAAAUGCUGAAAUUCUUUAUGGACUUCAAGGGGAAAAUGCCAAAUAAAAUAAUAAGGAAAGGUGCUUUCAAAGAUCAACAUUUUGACCACAACUGCAAUUUCUUAUACCAUGAAGUUGACAAGGUCACAGAAAGGGAGAAAGUGGUGACGAUGUCGACUAUCAACAUAACCAGAGAUCUGCAGUCUGAACUGGUUGGCAACCAGCACCUGCCCGAUGAUCAAGCCAGGAAAGUCAACCAGCUCAAGGACCUACUGGAGAAAAUUCUGAUGCUGGACUCGACCAAGCGAAUCCCCAUCAACCAGGCACUGACUCACCCAUUCAUCCAAGAGAAGAUAUAGUGCCUGCAGAGAAGAGGUACCAGUCAGAGUGGGGGCGAGGAGACUCUCUCACUUGCUUAGCUCACUCCAAGGAGUGGGCGAGGGUGUAAACUGCUCCUAGAUGCGUUCAGU
This 3064-nucleotide unclassified non-coding RNA is filed under the name Homalodisca vitripennis (glassy-winged sharpshooter). RNAcentral describes it as "serine/threonine-protein kinase PRP4 homolog, transcript variant X2". The record is from RNAcentral. Lineage: Eukaryota; Metazoa; Arthropoda; Insecta; Hemiptera; Cicadellidae.